CUUUCUUGAUUCGGUGGGUGGUGGUGCAUGGCCGUUCUUAGUUGGUGGAGCGAUUUGUCUGGUUAAUUCCGAUAACGAACGAGACUCUAGCCUGCUAACUAGGCGAUUUCCGGUACCCACAACAGUGUUACCGGCGAUUCAAUUUCUUCUUAGAGGGACAGGCGGCUCCUAG
This 172-nucleotide ribosomal RNA is filed under the name Poeciloterpa latipennis. RNAcentral describes it as "partial small subunit ribosomal RNA". It matches the Rfam family "Eukaryotic small subunit ribosomal RNA", at positions 1257 to 1433 of the family's 1831-position model. The record is from RNAcentral. Lineage: Eukaryota; Metazoa; Arthropoda; Insecta; Hemiptera; Cercopidae.